CACUUUGUCUAUAUGGCAAAUGUGAGAUGCAGUGUAUGGAAUGUCAAAUUUCUAGUAUGAGAAAUUAAUGAUUUAAGUCCUUCUUAAAUGAGGCCAUUUACCCAUAGAGGGUGCCAGGCCCGUAUAACAUUAAUGAUUACUAGAUGACAUUUCCAAAGAGUCGUGUUGCUUGAUAGUGCAGCACUAAGUGGGUGGUAAACUCCAUCUAAAACUAAAUAUAACCAUGAGACCGAUAGCAAACAAGUACCGUGAGGGAAAGUUGAAAAGAACUCUGAAUAGAGAGUUAAAUAGUACGUGAAACUGCUUAGAGGUUAAGCCCGAUGAACCUGAAUAUCCAAUUAUAGAAAAUUCAUCACUAUGAUAUUUUAAUAUAUUAUAUAUAUUAUUAAUAUAAUAGUGUGCAUUUUUUCUAUAAAGGACAUUGUAAUCUAUUAACAUAUAAAAAAUUUAUCAUAAGAUCAUUAUGCGUAAGUUUAUUUAAAUUAUUUUGCUUUGCAAUUUAACAUAAAAUAAAUGCUCUUGAUUUGAUAAAGUGUUGAUAGAUUUAUAUAUAUAUAUAUAGUGCUUAAAUAUAUUUAUAUAUUUUAUAAUAGCAUAUUAAUAAUUUAUUUUUAUGUUUAUUAUAUGCACUUAUAUGAUUAACAAUGCGAAAGAUUCAGGAUACCUUCGGGACCCGUCUUGAAACACGGACCAAGGAGUCUAACAUAUUUGCAAGUUAUUGGGAAUUAAAAAACCUAAUAGCGAAAUUAACAUAACUAUAAUAUAAUGGGAUUAGUUUUUAGUCUAUUUUAAUUAAUAGUCUAUUAAUUCAAUCCCGGGGCGUUCUAUACAGUUAUGUAUAAUAAUAUUUUAUAUUAUUUAUACCUCUAACUAGAACGUACCUUGAGCAUAUAUGCUGUGACCCGAAAGAUGGUGAACUAUACUUGAUCAGGUUGAAGUCAGGGGAAACCCUGAUGGAAGACCGAAACAGUUCUGACGUGCAAAUCGAUUGUCAGAAUUGCAGUAU
This 1006-nucleotide ribosomal RNA is filed under the name Siphona n. sp. JOS-2001. RNAcentral's name for it is "eukaryotic LSU rRNA". It matches the Rfam family "Eukaryotic large subunit ribosomal RNA", at positions 120 to 918 of the family's 3401-position model. Lineage: Eukaryota; Metazoa; Arthropoda; Insecta; Diptera; Tachinidae. The record is from RNAcentral.